AUUACUAGUGACAUUGACAUUUCAUUUAUUAGCUUAUAUUCUCUUCGCUUCGGUGUAUAGGUUAUUUUUUAGUUGUACACCGCGAUCAAGACGAAGAGAAAAAUUAAAAAAAUUAAUGUGAAUUUGUUAAUUAAUAUCAUUGCAUGCAAUGAAUUGAUCACUGCAUGUCGUAUUAAUUACUCUUAAGUCAUUAAAAAUAUACAC
This 204-nucleotide long non-coding RNA is filed under the name Hordeum vulgare. RNAcentral describes it as "long non-coding RNA (HVUL_LNC010410)". The record is from RNAcentral. Lineage: Eukaryota; Viridiplantae; Streptophyta; Magnoliopsida; Poales; Poaceae.